RNAcentral lists this ribosomal RNA (2902 nucleotides) under Klebsiella pneumoniae. RNAcentral describes it as "23S ribosomal RNA". It matches the Rfam family "Bacterial large subunit ribosomal RNA". Lineage: Bacteria; Pseudomonadati; Pseudomonadota; Gammaproteobacteria; Enterobacterales; Enterobacteriaceae. The record is from RNAcentral. RNAcentral also lists the same sequence under 1 other name.
GGUUAAGCGACUAAGCGUACACGGUGGAUGCCCUGGCAGUCAGAGGCGAUGAAGGACGUGCUAAUCUGCGAAAAGCGUCGGUAAGGUGAUAUGAACCGUUAUAACCGGCGAUGUCCGAAUGGGGAAACCCAGUGCAAUUCGUUGCACUAUCGUUAACUGAAUACAUAGGUUAACGAGGCGAACCGGGGGAACUGAAACAUCUAAGUACCCCGAGGAAAAGAAAUCAACCGAGAUUCCCCCAGUAGCGGCGAGCGAACGGGGAGCAGCCCAGAGUCUGAAUCAGCUUGUGUGUUAGUGGAACGGUCUGGAAAGUCCGACGGUACAGGGUGAUAGUCCCGUACACCAAAAUGCACAGGUUGUGAACUCGAAGAGUAGGGCGGGACACGUGGUAUCCUGUCUGAAUAUGGGGGGACCAUCCUCCAAGGCUAAAUACUCCUGACUGACCGAUAGUGAACCAGUACCGUGAGGGAAAGGCGAAAAGAACCCCGGCGAGGGGAGUGAAAAAGAACCUGAAACCGUGUACGUACAAGCAGUGGGAGCACCUUCGGGUGUGACUGCGUACCUUUUGUAUAAUGGGUCAGCGACUUAUAUUCUGUAGCAAGGUUAACCGUAUAGGGGAGCCGCAGGGAAACCGAGUCUUAACUGGGCGUUAAGUUGCAGGGUAUAGACCCGAAACCCGGUGAUCUAGCCAUGGGCAGGUUGAAGGUUGGGUAACACUAACUGGAGGACCGAACCGACUAAUGUUGAAAAAUUAGCGGAUGACUUGUGGCUGGGGGUGAAAGGCCAAUCAAACCGGGAGAUAGCUGGUUCUCCCCGAAAGCUAUUUAGGUAGCGCCUCGUGAACUCAUCUUCGGGGGUAGAGCACUGUUUCGGCUAGGGGGUCAUCCCGACUUACCAACCCGAUGCAAACUACGAAUACCGAAGAAUGUUAUCACGGGAGACACACGGCGGGUGCUAACGUCCGUCGUGAAGAGGGAAACAACCCAGACCGCCAGCUAAGGUCCCAAAGUCAUGGUUAAGUGGGAAACGAUGUGGGAAGGCACAGACAGCCAGGAUGUUGGCUUAGAAGCAGCCAUCAUUUAAAGAAAGCGUAAUAGCUCACUGGUCGAGUCGGCCUGCGCGGAAGAUGUAACGGGGCUAAACCAUGCACCGAAGCUGCGGCAGCGACACUAUGUGUUGUUGGGUAGGGGAGCGUUCUGUAAGCCUGCGAAGGUGUGCUGUGAGGCAUGCUGGAGGUAUCAGAAGUGCGAAUGCUGACAUAAGUAACGAUAAAGCGGGUGAAAAGCCCGCUCGCCGGAAGACCAAGGGUUCCUGUCCAACGUUAAUCGGGGCAGGGUGAGUCGACCCCUAAGGCGAGGCCGAAAGGCGUAGUCGAUGGGAAACAGGUUAAUAUUCCUGUACUUGGUGUUACUGCGAAGGGGGGACGGAGAAGGCUAUGUUAGCCGGGCGACGGUUGUCCCGGUUUAAGCAUGUAGGCUGAUUGUCCAGGCAAAUCCGGAUAAUCAAGGCUGAGGUGUGAUGACGAGGCACUACGGUGCUGAAGUAACAAAUGCCCUGCUUCCAGGAAAAGCCUCUAAGCAUCAGGUAACAUCAAAUCGUACCCCAAACCGACACAGGUGGUCAGGUAGAGAAUACCAAGGCGCUUGAGAGAACUCGGGUGAAGGAACUAGGCAAAAUGGUGCCGUAACUUCGGGAGAAGGCACGCUGGUGUGUAGGUGAAGUCCCUGCGGAUGGAGCUGAGACCAGUCGAAGAUACCAGCUGGCUGCAACUGUUUAUUAAAAACACAGCACUGUGCAAACACGAAAGUGGACGUAUACGGUGUGACGCCUGCCCGGUGCCGGAAGGUUAAUUGAUGGGGUUAUCCGUAAGGAGAAGCUCUUGAUCGAAGCCCCGGUAAACGGCGGCCGUAACUAUAACGGUCCUAAGGUAGCGAAAUUCCUUGUCGGGUAAGUUCCGACCUGCACGAAUGGCGUAAUGAUGGCCAGGCUGUCUCCACCCGAGACUCAGUGAAAUUGAACUCGCUGUGAAGAUGCAGUGUACCCGCGGCAAGACGGAAAGACCCCGUGAACCUUUACUAUAGCUUGACACUGAACAUUGAGCCUUGAUGUGUAGGAUAGGUGGGAGGCUUUGAAGCGUGGACGCCAGUCUGCGUGGAGCCAACCUUGAAAUACCACCCUUUAAUGUUUGAUGUUCUAACGUUGGCCCCUUACCGGGGUUGCGGACAGUGUCUGGUGGGUAGUUUGACUGGGGCGGUCUCCUCCCAAAGCGUAACGGAGGAGCACGAAGGUUAGCUAAUCCUGGUCGGACAUCAGGAGGUUAGUGCAAUGGCAUAAGCUAGCUUGACUGCGAGCGUGACGGCGCGAGCAGGUGCGAAAGCAGGUCAUAGUGAUCCGGUGGUUCUGAAUGGAAGGGCCAUCGCUCAACGGAUAAAAGGUACUCCGGGGAUAACAGGCUGAUACCGCCCAAGAGUUCAUAUCGACGGCGGUGUUUGGCACCUCGAUGUCGGCUCAUCACAUCCUGGGGCUGAAGUAGGUCCCAAGGGUAUGGCUGUUCGCCAUUUAAAGUGGUACGCGAGCUGGGUUUAGAACGUCGUGAGACAGUUCGGUCCCUAUCUGCCGUGGGCGCUGGAGAAUUGAGGGGGGCUGCUCCUAGUACGAGAGGACCGGAGUGGACGCAUCACUGGUGUUCGGGUUGUCAUGCCAAUGGCACUGCCCGGUAGCUAAAUGCGGAAGAGAUAAGUGCUGAAAGCAUCUAAGCACGAAACUUGCCCCGAGAUGAGUUCUCCCUGAGACUUUAAGUCUCCUGAAGGAACGUUGAAGACGACGACGUUGAUAGGCCGGGUGUGUAAGCGCAGCGAUGCGUUGAGCUAACCGGUACUAAUGAACCGUGAGGCUUAACCUU